CUGAACAAGACUCAGAUGCUCAAAAGAAGCUAGCCGUGGACUUAUGGCAGUCUGUAUACAAGAAUUAAUGAUGUCGUCAAAGUGAGGUCCCUAGCCCUGUUGGGACAGGCCGGGGGCAUACCCCAAUUACCACCAGCUCUACUGGAGUAAGGAGUGGACGGAUACAACUGUGGGACGGAUAAGUGGCCUCCAUUACACAGGGCUUGCUUGAGGGGCUACCUUGAGAUUGUGAAGACACUUGUUACUCAUAGAGCUCGUACUGAUAAAGGUUGGGAGGGAUGACUCUACUUCACUAUGCAUGCCAGGAAGGUCAUAAAGAGGUGGUCAAGUACUUGAUCCAAGACGUCGGAUGUAGCACUGCAUCGUACUGUCAGCUUUACCGUAUCCCUCGUGCGGCUACGCCUCGAGGCUUAAUUAUGGUCGCCAUAGCGUGUUAGUGCUCUGUUCCACAACAGAUGUGAGGGAUAAGGAUAACUGGACUCCUCUUCACUGGCAUGGGCUUGUGAGGGAGGAAGUAAAGACAUGGUACAGUAUCUGGUGGAGGAACUGAAGAUGGAAGUUGGUGAGAUCAUAGAUAAAGGGGAGAGAGGGAUUGGAAACUAUGCAUGCUGUCAGCCCAAAUGUGGGAAAACAGGAUUAUCUAGACCCUUACAAGCAUUCCCAAAGCUUACAAUGCCCCUUGCUGGUACGUAGCCAUCAUUUGGAAUGACAAAAAAACUUUUUCGAUGUUUAGACAGCGGCGUACACAAAGGGGGGCUAGAGUACAACACAACCACCGUGCAGUGUUAUACCUUGAUUAUACACCCACUCUUGUUCAGGUGCAACUGACGAUCAUGGCAUGACUCCUCUUGACAUUACUACACGUAGGGGACACUGAAAUUGCUGACUACCUCAAGUUUCUACCCCAACAUCUGCUGUGGCUGGGAACACUGACUCCAGGAGUGACGAGAAUGGACCACCACCAACAAAGAAACGAAAAAGUGCCCAGCCAGUGACUCGGAGAGUGUGUCCUAACUGUGAGGAGAGUUGUCACAUCCGCUGCAAGAAAUGUCCCGAAUGUGAGCACGAGUUCCCUCCUUCCACUAAGAGCAGGGCCAAACCUGACCAGAAAAACCCUUCAAGCCUACGCAGAUCCUACAGAAAAAGGUUGACCAACUCUCUCUGUUAGGAUUUGACAUUGUCGUACUAGUACCCGUUUCCCUUCACCUAUUACACCGUUAGAGUCGUCUUGGCAACCAAUGAACUGACCCCAACAUUAACUCAAUAGAUCGGGAACUCUGCAAUAGAAUCUCCAUAGAAUAAUUUGUUUAAGAAUGCAUAUUUUAGUGGGGGAUUUUCCCUAAUACAUUCAGUGUGAAUUUAUAUAUUUCUGUUCAAGCUAGUUUAGUGACCCUUUUCCAUUGUUCCUGGUAAGAAAUUACUUCGCUUAUAAAUUGCUACUAUCUAUGCUUGCAGUAUAGUACAUACUACAUAUCCAUACGUGUGUAUCAUGGCUGAGGGAAAAAUGGACUUGAAGACUGAUGAUGACAUCAAUGACUAUGAAGAGUUUGAAGCCAUUAGGGAAGAUGAGGUUGAGCUAGCUAAGAAAGGUGAUACUACUUCUCAGACUGGGUUUGGACGGUUGCUGUUAAUUAAACAGAGUUAUGGGUCCACGUCUUGGAAACAAACAAACAGAUGCCAAAUCCACAAACAGUACGGACACCACGACGUGUGAAACUAUACGGCAACGAAGACCGAUAUUGAUUGAUCCUACCAUAGACUAUGAUCCUGAAAAUCAAGUACUGAAAGAGACUGAGGAAGGUUUCGAGGGAGAGCUCAAAAUUCUUAGAGGCUUCUACUCUACCAAGCAUUUACUAGAAGAUCAACUACUUCAGGCCAAUGAAAGUGUAGAACGCCUAUCUGCCGAGAAAGAAUUCUUCUUACAGGAGCAGAACAUACUGAAAAAGGAGAUUGUUGACCUCCACGACAAACUGGAAAUUGUUAGAGCUAAGGCUGAGCUGUAUAAAGAAGACUUUGAGAAUGAGCGAAAAGACAGAGAAAAUGCUCAUGAUCUCAAGGAAGAAAUGAGACGUUCUUGUGAUCAAAGGGUUCAUGCAAUUGCAAAGGAACGACAUGCGCUCGAGGAAACGAUACAAAAUUUAUUAAGAACAAGAAUACCUGAAGAACUAUCUAAUGAUAAGGAAGGUUUGCAAGAAGUAAGUGCAACGAGGACAUCCACUAGGCAGCACGAGCUUCAACAGAACAACAAAGAGAUCCAUGAGCUUCAAGAGCAGCUCUACGAAGCACGUCAGAAGGCCAUCACAGCUCAAGAGGAAGUCCAGGCAAAGACAGCUCAGGUCAAACAGUACAAGAAGAAAGAUGAUCAACGGGAUGAAAAGCUCGUCAAUCUAGAGGCGAGGAACCAGGGAUUAAUGCAGGAGAUGGAGAGGGUUAGGAGUGAGCUGAAAGAGACGAAAACUGAGUACAUGAAGUUGCUAGAGAAACAAAAGAAAUCUAGUCUAACAGAAAUGGGACAAAUUUGCCACGACCUUAGAAAAAAGACGAGGAAGAAAAUAAUGUCCAAGUCUGAGGCUCAUAUUGAACUACUGGAGGUGCAACUUGACAAUGAUUCUCUUCGGGUCCAUAAUGAAAGAUUGAACGAAUCUCUUCAACAAGUACAAGUACAAUUUGCUCGCCUAAAGGUGCAACACCUUGAGUUGAAGAAGGAAGUUACUAAAUCUGCAGCCACACCCACCACUCCCACUGAACCUUCUACGCCAAUUCAAGCAAAAAACCCAGGACUGGUUCAGGAGACAGACACGGUCAGGAUUGAGCUGGAUAUGGCAAGAACUGAGUUAUUGUAUGUGAAUCUUCCUGAGAACGUCAGGAAAUCGAGCAGGAAUGCAUCACAGAAAAAAGUGGAACACCAAUGUGAGAGUAGUGAGGUCAUACUAAAUGAAGAAAUAACUCCUACCACACACACCACACAUCCGAGUGGAUCUACCGAUCACGAAAGAUCUCUCCUGACCAAACAGAAUACGGACAUUCCUCGAUCUUCUGGUAUGACAAUGCACCCUCAAAUAUCGUCUUGGCAACCUCAGUAUCAACACCCACCUAUCUAUAUACCUGGAUCCUCAUCGUCAAACGCACCGGACACCCAACGACAACGUAUUUUUAAUAGCGCCCCUGACAGUCAAAACACCUACAUUAGUUCUUCUGCAUGCUACGAUUUGGAUUAUCGAGAUCAAAAUCACGUGUGGCAACAAGAACGUCGGCAAAUACAGCCAUACGUACAGCACCAAGAGGGGACAGUCCAACCCCUACCUUUGCAAAGACCACCUCAAUCUUCAAGAGAAGCUUGUCAAUUAGGUAGUCAGCAUCGCCGAGAACCUCUGCAAUAUCAUCAGCCAAACAGGGGGCUACCUAAACCCUUCGAUCGAACCACGUCCCAAACAGGAAAUGCAACACACGAUUCCUCAGUUUCAAGCAAUUACAAUUCUGUCUCAGAUAUGGUUGGACCGAACUCUAAUCCAUCGUACAUGGCUACUGAUUUAGCUGUAGAUUUGCAAAGGGAAAAACCUAAGCCAAAACCACGUCACAAAUCACAACAAAGAGAAGAGAAUGAACUUGAAAAAAGUUUGGACAAAGAGAUUCAAGAAAUUGUCAACGAUUUAUUUUAUGAGCAGUACGAGAGUGAGAAGCAACGAACUAACGAACAUGUUCCUCUCGAUUCCAACCUGGUGUGUCUAGUGUGCUCCAAGCAACACAGACUGGGAGAGAUUCAGAAGUACCGGAAACACGUGAAAGAGUGUGAGAGAGAACAGGGAGUGAGAGCUGUGGAGGCGGUACGUAUGAUGUUAUUGUCAUAAAUUAUAAGCGCAAUUAUUUUUAGUGUCAUGUUGUGGUGUUUCCAUGCAUGGUGGGGUGCCACAGUUUUUGCUGUGUGGUGGUAUUCUGUCUACCGUAGAAACUGGAUUAUUAGCGCUUACUCGACUAUAAGCGUAUAUCUUUAUUUUAAGCACACGCUCAACUGCAGGCUUUUUAUACUCGAAUUGAAGCGCUUUUCCAAUUAUGCGAAGGUUAUUAGUAAAAAUUUUAGAAUUGAUUCAACUAAUUUUGUUUAUCUAUGACCUAUAUAGUUAGCUUGUACAGGCUAUAUAGCUGCAUGGUGAUAUCCAUCUGUAAGGACUCUCUGGGCAUGCUGUUACCUUGUCUGAUCAUGCUGAGAGAAUGUGAGACAUGGAUGAGGUCCUUUUAUUCCAAGUUCCUGGUCAAUAUGUAUAAUAUGAAUUUAAAUGAUGUAAAUGAACUGUAAAAUGAACUGUAACAUAAUAGUAUGAUAUAGAUCCAGUUUGGGUUGCCUGCUUGCCUUGCUUGCUCACUUUCUAGCCAGCUUGCGAGUCAGCUCUCAUCACAGAGACAUCCAGUUGCUGGGUGGGGCUCAAAAUGACUGCGCAUUCUCGAAUAUAAGCGUAUAGAGCUCUGCUAUUGACCCUAAAAGCGCAUGCAUGCGCUAAUAAUCCAGUUUCUUAUAUGGUAUAUAUAAAUCAACUGUGGCUGGCCGUCCUUCAUUUCCGAGGGGAGGAAAUGUCUAUAUAAUUAUUACCAAGACAUGCUCAUAGGCAAGAGUGUUGUAAAUGCAUGUGGUUUGUCGUAGUAGUACAUCUAGGGGAUUUGUACCCGAGGCAUGUAUUUCUGAGGUAAUACAUACAACUGCAUGCAUGCAUGCAUGGCACCAAAAAUAAAAUCCAAUACACACUAUCAACAAUUACUGUAUACAUGCAUGCAUGGCACCAAAAAUAAAAUCCAAUACACACUAUCAACAAUUACUGUAUACAUGCAUGCAUGGCACCAAAAAUAAAAUCCAAUACACACUAUCAACAAUUACUGUAUACAUGCACAGCAAGGAUUAGAGUAUUGUGUUUCACCCACGGGAAAGGUAUAUCCAUUAUCGCUAUGUUUUUAAUGACAUGCAUACACGCCGCAACUAUACUUUCGACUUUUCUUCGAAAAACUUCAAUUGAGGGCUCUAUCCAAUUAAAGAAAGGUAUAGAGCCACGGCGAGACAAAGAGAAGUGUUUUAAAAAGGCCGCUAAACUUUCAUCGGACACAAAACCAUUCUCUGUAAAACAUUCUACUGGUCCAAGGGAUUGAACUGAAUGGAAAUUGUUUCUCUAUAAAUUAUUUAUGUUUGUGUUAAGUUUGACACUUCUGCAAAGCUACUUUGUGACCCGUAUAAUUGAAGCCUAUAAUACUACAAUCAUGUAUUAUGUAUGCAA
This is an RNA transcript of Halichondria panicea, 5258 nucleotides long. It is a transcript of the gene named ankyrin repeat domain-containing protein 27-like, with no coding region annotated. The transcript has 14 exons. The record is from RefSeq and is a predicted model, not a curated record. Lineage: Eukaryota; Metazoa; Porifera; Demospongiae; Suberitida; Halichondriidae.